RNAcentral lists this non-coding RNA (22 nucleotides) under Arabidopsis thaliana (thale cress). Lineage: Eukaryota; Viridiplantae; Streptophyta; Magnoliopsida; Brassicales; Brassicaceae. The record is from RNAcentral.
GGAUUAAUGUACUGGAGUCUCC